AAUUUUCAGUCAUCCGACACCACCUCCGCUCUGGUGUCGUCACAGCAGCCGGAGCUGAAACCUCUGCCGGGUAGAAAUGUUCACCAGAGCAAGGAAACAAUCAUUGUGUCACAUCAGAGCCGUCACACCCGGUUUGACAUCUUUAACCCUGCAGAGACUGGGUGUGAACUGUCUCACUCCUCUGUGGUGGCUGCUCAAGGAUCUGUCAGCGAGACGGCUGGUUAACUAGGUCGUCUUUCACUCCUGUCACUACCUGGCAUCACCGUCUUGUCGCAGGCCAGGCACUUGGAGGAGAACUCGUUGCAGAAGCAGUCGCUGCACACGAGCGCGUCUUCCUGGCUGGUGAAGGGCUCGUCUGCCAGGGAGCGGUCGCAGCGGAAGCAGCGAAAGCAGUGCGAGUGGUAAUGUCUGUUCUCAUAGGAGAGCUCCUGCAGGGGGGGGGAGAGGGAGAGGGAGGGGGUCACAGGGGGCAAAGAGAGAUUGACAAACUUCUCAGGAUCUAAGUGGAGAAACUCUAUGAUCGCAUUUAGAAAUACCCUAGUCAAAACAUUUGCUUCCUGAAGAAGACAUCAGCGUAAGAGGCAUUCAAAACAAACUAGGAUGGCUUUCAGUAAAGAGCGAUGGCUAGGCCCGGCGGUCCCUUCGAUUCUGCACCAAAACCAUCAUGUUCAUGUAUUUUUCAUUUGGAUCUGCAUCAAAUUGGACACACUCAAAGAUAACAGUCCACUAAAUGAGCUGGAUUUGCAGAUAAUCAAGAAGAUCUGUGAAUUAUGGACAAAUGAAAUCGAUGAAAGUGUCAAAAAAACUAAUGUUCUAAUGUUAAAGAAGGUGUUAUGAUACUUCCUGGAUCCUGGAGUGUACAGCUCCACCACAGUACCCUGAAUAUGUCUGUUUCAUCAAGUUCAGUGAAUUAAAUUAAGUUCUCUCUUGGCCCAUUUUCCAUCCUUCCACUAAGUUUUGUAGAAAUCAGUUCGGUAAUUUUUUGCAUUAUCCUGCUGACAAACAAACAAACAAACAACCAAAAUGUAUGAACAGGGGUGAAAGCAUAACCUCCCUGUUGGAAGUAUAUACAUUAGUUUAAAAAGGAUAAAUCGAAACCUGUGUUAAAGAUUGUGGCUUCUACAUUUAAAGCUGCUCUGGUGCUCAGUGGAAAGUAAAUAUAGAUUAGACUAUUUUGUAAAAUGAGAUAAAACCAUUUCAACAUUCAAAAUUAAAAGUUUUGUUUAUGGUGGUUGAAGUUGGUUUAAAAAUAAAGCUGGAUGUUUCUUCAGUCAGGCAGUUUGUGGUUGUGGUGUUUCUCUGCAGUUUCCUCUGAGGGAGACUCAAUGUGCUUCCCCUCAUCCGCUCACAGGUCAGAGGUCACGGUCAGCUACAGGAUCCAGUUUCCCACACAAGGACACUUCAGUGCUUUGGAUGUUUGCCGACGCGAGAGGCUGAAACCCAAAGAGCUUUCCUUUUCUUUUUUCUGCUCCUACGACAUCCUGCUGCCCUCCAAGAAAAAGAGUUAACGCGAGAAACACACAAACAUGAGAGAAAAAUCCACUUUCUCUUCUUUAUCUCCUUAAAUUGUUCUCUUCAACAGCUGCUCGAGUUCCAGUUCAUGUGGUCAGCUCCGUGACAAAUUGCUCCAUCGACCGGUGGGGGGAAAAACUUAUCUUUUGAAGGAUAGGGUUUCACAGUAAAAAAAAAAAACAACAACAUGCUGCGAGGGGCUGAGGACGAAUGUUGAGGGAACGGGCCAAAGCAAGCAGCGGCCUGAUUUACUGCCAGGCCCUCGCAGGGAGUCCAUAACUCACAGGACGCCGAUGGCCUCAUGGCGUCUGUGGGUGUCUCCUCCGGGACGCUGUUCUUCAUUUUCACUAACUAAAAGGCAUUCGGGGCUGUUAGAGGAGAUUACAGACAAUCUGAUGUUCUGUCAGAGCAGCUGAGGUUUCUCAGGGAACACCAGCUGGUUCCACAGCAGUUCGGAGAAUGAUCAUAAGAGGAAGAGGUGGGGCCUUCUCAUGAUCUCUGUCUCUUAAGUAGUGAUAUUACACUGUAGAAAUAUUCAACUCAAAGUUAAGUCCUUAGUUUUAAGUGGUACUUGAGAAAAGUACCUAAAGGUUACAGCUUCUGCGAGGAGGUUAUGUUUUUGCAAGAUUCCUCAAAAACUACUAAAGUGAUUUCUCUGAAAGCGGAGGAAGGAUGGAACAAGAGCCUAGAGAGAACACGUUUUAUCCCUGUCUUCAUCAUUUGCCAUUCUAAAGCAAAGUACAAAUACUCAAAUUCCAGUGCAGCAGUUGAGUACAUGUACUUCAGUUCCGUUCGUUCUCACCUUGGCGUUGUGGCCGAUGAGUUCCUUGCACUCCUGGCAGGUGUGGGCGUGCAGGCGGUCGUAGCAGGGCACGCAGUGAGGGCUGUCCUCCACCUGGAUGUAUUUGCGUCCGUACAGGGACUCGUUGCAGUUUUUGCAGUCGAAGCGGUCACUCAUGAUGCCUGUCUCUGUUUUUUCUGGCUGAUCAACUGAAAAACAAAGAAAUCCCAGACGCAGGUGAAGGAGAACCUCAGGCCUCCAGGCUUCACACGGACCAGGAGAUGAAACCAGAAACCUGUGGGUGACGUCAUGGAGGCUUCACUGAUCUUCACACUCAGUCUAUGAGCGGAACAAUCUCUAACAAGCGUCAUGGCCACUGUCAGAAAGAUGAAAACUGGAACAUGAAGAGAAAGAACAGGAGACGCCCAAACACGGAGCCCUGGGGGACGCCUGAGGAGCAGCGAUGGGGGACCAGUUACUGAUGGGGAUGACCUGGUGUCAGUCUGGGAGAUGUUCAAAGCUGGGAGAGAAGAGGAGGAGCUUGAUGGUGAAACUUCCCAAUAGAGUCAUUAAAAUGAUUUAGGACGCAAGAGAAGGAAACAGAACGCCAGGAGAUAUUGUUGUGCAGUUUAAAUGUAAAGAAUGGAGAUGACUGAUUGAAGACUGAAGGGUUGAUUCAUUGUAAAUUUUCACCCUAAAGAUAUAACCGCUUCUCUCAUUACCUCGUUUCUCACCAACCAGUGAAAGCUCGUGAUGGCGGCCUCUCCCUCCCACUCAUUCUUGUUUGAAACCCCCUGCGGCACGUUUGGCAUUGAGACGGAACAACUAAACAAUAUUAAUUGUUGGGAGCUGGAGUGAAACAGAGUUCUCAAUUUCAAAGUGUCUCUCUCUCUCUCUCUCUCUCUCUCUCUCUCGGCUUUCUUUCCUCUGUGUUUGGUUUCUGUUUUAAAGGGCACUCGUUUAUCUAGUUCACUUCUUUUGUCCACACCUCACUUGUGAAUGUGUAACAAUCAUUUACUGUUCAAAAGAAAAUAACAAAAAUCCUAAACUGGUAAUGACAUGUUGAUUUUGCUAAAUGUAUUUUAAUCCAAUCAAAUUACAGCGAUCUUGUCAGUUAUAAAUCUAAUCUAAACAUUUUGAGGUUUCUCAAUCAUCUCAAGUGCGUGUCCAGAAUUUUGCCUCUUGAUUAAAUCUUAACAAAACCAACAGUUGUUUUUCUUUUCAAAAACUGCUGAGGAAUAAAAUGCCUUUCCCGCACACACUUCGUAAUUGCAGCUUCUAAAAGCACAACUUGUCCUUUUCUCAAUAAAAUCUUUAAAUCUCAA
Molecule: long non-coding RNA, 3618 nt
Organism: Pleuronectes platessa (European plaice)
Lineage: Eukaryota; Metazoa; Chordata; Actinopteri; Pleuronectiformes; Pleuronectidae
Exons: 2
Source: RefSeq, a predicted model, not a curated record